RNAcentral lists this ribosomal RNA (465 nucleotides) under Vreelandella stevensii. RNAcentral's name for it is "partial 16S ribosomal RNA". It matches the Rfam family "Bacterial small subunit ribosomal RNA", at positions 338 to 795 of the family's 1533-position model. Lineage: Bacteria; Pseudomonadati; Pseudomonadota; Gammaproteobacteria; Oceanospirillales; Halomonadaceae. The record is from RNAcentral.
CCUACGGGUGGCAGCAGUGGGGAAUAUUGGACAAUGGGCGAAAGCCUGAUCCAGCCAUGCCGCGUGUGUGAAGAAGGCCUUCGGGUUGUAAAGCACUUUCAGUGGGGAAGAAAGCCUUGGGGCUAAUACCCUCGAGGAAGGACAUCACCCACAGAAGAAGCACCGGCUAACUCCGUGCCAGCAGCCGCGGUAAUACGGAGGGUGCGGGCGUUAAUCGGAAUUACUGGGCGUAAAGCGCGCGUAGGCGGUCUGAUAAGCCGGUUGUGAAAGCCCCGGGCUCAACCUGGGAACGGCAUCCGGAACUGUCAGGCUAGAGUGCAGGAGAGGAAGGUAGAAUCCCCGGUGUAGCGGUGAAAUGCGUAGAGAUCGGGAGGAAUACCAGAGGCGAAGGCGGCCUUCUGGACUGACACUGACGCUGAGGUGCGAAAGCGUGGGUAGCAAACAGGAUUAGAUACCCUAGUAGUC